UACGUAGGGGGCAAGCGUUGUCCGGAAUUACUGGGCGUAAAGGGAGCGUAGGCGGUCUUUUAAGUUAGAUGUGAAAUACCCGGGCUCAACUUGGGAGGUGCAUCUAAAACUGGAGGACUUGAGUGCAGGAGAGGAAAGUGGAAUUCCUAGUGUAGCGGUGAAAUGCGUAGAUAUUAGGAGGAACACCAGUGGCGAAGGCGACUUUCUGGACUGUAACUGACGCUGAGGCUCGAAAGCGUGGGGAGCAAACAGGAUUAGAAACCCCAGUAGU
This 271-nucleotide ribosomal RNA is filed under the name uncultured bacterium. Its description in RNAcentral is "partial 16S ribosomal RNA". It matches the Rfam family "Bacterial small subunit ribosomal RNA", at positions 524 to 794 of the family's 1533-position model. The record is from RNAcentral.